Non-coding RNA from Paramuricea clavata, 89 nucleotides. NCBI's taxonomy places the organism in Eukaryota, Metazoa, Cnidaria, Anthozoa, Malacalcyonacea, Plexauridae. The record is from the annotation of a GenBank genome assembly.
UACACAUACAGGGUGUAUAAAAUAACUGAACAGAUUUGAAAUUACUCUCAAAUUAAUCUGUUCAGUUAUUUUAUACCCCCUGUAUAAAA